CCCCGUGCGCCACACAGAGGAUUGACUUGCAGCACUGUUGAUCGGAUUAUCAACUAGCAGGAUGAGGGUCCCUCACACAGAUGAUCGUAUUUGGAGGUCCAUGGCAUCUAAAAGAAUGAAACCCCCUGGUGUAGAUGACAUGAACAAGAGAGAAAAGCAGCACCACACUGUAUACAUACAAAGACAUUUUUAAUGAUGUCACAGCGCAUUUUACAUCUUACAUGAAGUGCCAUCAUAAGCAUUUUAUUUGAAUGGAAAUCAAUGGCAUGAGCACAUGUCCCUGUCCCCCUGAAAUAAAGGGUUGUGGGGAUUUAGAUUGUCAUGGCAAAGGAAUCUAUUCAUCUCUACAGUAUUACAAAGCACCCUGUGUAUGGACAUGUAGAAUGGUCCUUUUAAGCUGUAGUAUCUGAUUCGAGUGUCUAUAAUCUAUUUGAAGUGUUUUACAUAACAUGUUGAAGAUCGGUGUUUAAUAAGUGAAAUUGAAUCAAGUUGGAUCUGAAGAUAACCUGAGAUGCAUUAUUAGACUUCCCUUUGUGUAAAUCUGCUCCCUCUGUAAACAGUUUAAGGCCAUGUUAAUCCAAUAUCAAAGAUGAAUAAACUUUGCAAGAUUUCAGAGAUCUCAAUCUUUUUAACUUAUUUCAGCAUUUUCUAUUUAAAAAGUACAUACAACAGUUUCAAUUAACAAUAAGGUUUUUGGCAGUUGAAAAAAACUUU
This is a long non-coding RNA of Sinocyclocheilus anshuiensis, 714 nucleotides long. RefSeq lists it as uncharacterized. The record is from RefSeq and is a predicted model, not a curated record. Lineage: Eukaryota; Metazoa; Chordata; Actinopteri; Cypriniformes; Cyprinidae. The transcript has 2 exons.